RNAcentral lists this long non-coding RNA (8048 nucleotides) under Homo sapiens (human). RNAcentral describes it as "HSALNT0333220". The record is from RNAcentral. Lineage: Eukaryota; Metazoa; Chordata; Mammalia; Primates; Hominidae.
UGAAAAAUGCCUGAGUUGGAGUUAGCUAAAUGGAGGUGUGGUUGAGUGAGAGGGGCCAUGAUUAGCAAAAGAAAGAGCUUGAGCCAAGAGGUGAAAGCAAGAAAGUGUAUCCUGAAGGACAUAGAAGGGACAAGAGGCAGGAAGGCUUUCUCUGGUAUCCUAAAGAGUUUGGGCUUGACCCUGGAUGGAGAACUGCUAGGAGAAUUUGGGUAAGGCAAAGACACAACUAUUACAUUUUAGAAAAAAAUGAUACCACUGGCAAUACAGAAAAUGUAUCAAAGUUGAAGCCACUGGGUACAUCAUGGUUCAAGUCGCUGAGAAUGAGAACUGAUAGAGACCUAAGGGGGUGGCAAGUAGAGGGGAAUUCAUGAUGAACUCAGUUUGGAAUAUGUUGAAUUCACAUAUUCAGAGAAAUGUUUAGGGUAGUGGGGAAGACAAGAUUUGGGCAUAAGAGAGAGAAGAAAAAUUUGAGAGGUUGAGAUUGUGCAGUGCUUUAUCAUAGCAUGUAUGAUCUCUUGACACAUUCUUUAUUUCAUGUCUUCCCUGACUAGAAAUAAACUUCACGAGGGUGAGAACUUUGCUUUAUUUCCACCAUCUAGAACUGUGCCUGAACCACAGGGAGCACUCAGGAAAAAUUUACUGAAAAGAUGAAUUAUUCAGAAUUGUAGUUGAAAAGGUGUCUUCAGAGGAGUUUACUUACAUGCAGUGGACAUGAAAUAGGGCAUAGAGUGAAACCGUAGGCAAAACAUUGGGUGGAUAAUGUCAUUUGAUGCCAAAAAAGAAGCACUGAGGAAUUAGGAAAAACAAGAGAUAAUGAGGUCCCAGGUGACAAUGGAAGCAGUUGUGGAAAACUGCUUUAAAUGUCAUAGAGCACUCAGAAGGAAUUCAUAAAUGACCUCAUAAAGAAGUCCACUGUGGUUUCCCUGCAGAGGUGGGAAUAGAAUCAGAGUGCUAAGGAUUGAGGGAUUAAGAGGAGGUGAUUGUAUUAUUCCUCUUUUCAGAUAAUGGAGAGAGAGAAGAGAACAGCAGUAGCCGUUGCCAGAAAUAUUGAGCAAGGCGGAUUUAUUAGAUGAAGAUAUCAAAAUACUUUCCAUUGAGGAAACAGGUUGGAGGUGGGAGGCUGUAACCAUGCUUGAUUUUGUACCACCCUAACCUUUGCUUGUAAGUAUACUUUUUGAAAACCCAUUUUAUUGAACUGAAAUGUAUUUUGUUCUGAAGGGUUGAAAAAGGCUAAAGAAGUGGGAAGGAAUUUUUGUUAAACCUUAUACAAUAAGGGAAAAUUUUCCAGCAACAUGGAAAGACAUCAGAAUUGAAAUCCUAGUGAACUACUAACUAUGUGAAAUGGACAAGUGGCUUAUUAUUCCAAUUUUACAGAAAAGAAAAAUGAGACAUAAAUGUUAACAUCUAUGUGUAUGAUGAUUACGUGAGAUAAAUUUGGGUCUCUAUUUUGAGUGUUUUGUGGGCAGGAAUGGAUUAGGACUUUCUAAAAUAUUAAAUGGGCCAAUCUAAAUAUGUGAUCAAAAUUUUUCAGAGGUAUAUUUUGUGGUAUUUACAGCAAGAUGAGAAUGUAUUUUAAAUUGAUCUUUGAUCAUAUUUUUAUCUUUUAAACAUGUUCUGCCUCAUUUUCUCUGUAAUAAUAACUAUAAUUAUAUCCAUUCCUCAUUAUAAAGCUGCUCUUUUUUCUUUUCUGACAUUCUGCCUUCAUCGACUAAUGGUGGUGAGGCUACUACCUCCUGAGGUUACUUAUAAAAUUAAAGCGAUUGGGAAGGAAUGUUACAUGCAGUCCACAUUGUAUGUGAUACCGAGAGGAGACAGGAGGGCAGAGUCCCUGAUGAGAGCUCCACCCUUAAGCCUGGACCCGUGGCCCUGAAUGAGAACAGGCAUUGCUGCUUUCCUGCCCAAAGGCUGCUUUUUCCAAAACCACCGUGGCCCACCAUGUCCCCUAUCCUGUACCUAUAAAAACCCCAAACUCCACUGGCAGAGGAAUAGAGUGGCACAGCAGAGAAGGAAAGAAUAGAAGUGUCUGAAUGUCAAAGAGGGAGCUGGACAGUCAGAGAGGAGUUUGGCUGGGGACAGCUGAGCUCCAGGGGAAGAUCAUCUUCCCACUCCAUCCCCUUUCCAGCCCCCCAACCCACAAAGAGCCACCUCCAUCAUUCAGUAAAACCUCUGCAUUCACCAUCCUUCAAGUCCAUGUGACCUGAUUCUUCUUGUACUCUGGACAAAAAUCCAGGUUCCAAGAGGGCAGGGUAUAUGUCACCCUGAUUCUCCACGGGACUGUUUAACACUUAGCCCUCUGUGGACAGCAACUGCUAAAAGAGCAUUAAUUGUAACACAUGCCCUCUGGGGCUCCAGAGGUUGUGCGCAACUGCUAGAUGCUGCCCCUGGCGCCCAAAGGCACUAGCCCUGGUUCCCAUACCCACUUACCUGCAUGCUCCCACUCCUGCAAGGGGCUUGAGUUCAGCAACAAAGCAAAACAAGCUACCACCAACCCUCCACACCCUCCCUGUGGCAAGACUCGCAAGAGGGUCAGGGAACUCUCCCCCGUCAUAUGCGUUAUUCCAGUUUAGUUACCUACAAAAUAAACUUGCCAGAAUUAGUGUUUACUACAUAAGCUAAGCACCUAUUUCAACAUGUGUGAGCUUCUAAAAAGCAAAUCAAUGCUCUUCUGUCCAAUUUUGGCCAAGGCUUCAUGAUCUCUUUCCUUAAAACAUCAACUUAAAUUUUACCAUUACUUUUCUCUCUUCCUUCCCCUUAUCCUAUUUAACUAUUAUUAGAGACAUUUUAAAAAAAUUCCUUUCCUUUUCCAUGCUUGGUUUCCUCAAUAGCGAUUUUAUAUAGAAAACAUUUGACAUUAUAGUCUAGCUUUUCAUAGUUAAAAUUAAAUAUUUCAUUAAAAAGAGGAGUCUAUUUUUUCAGACUUGUAGGGCUCUGGGAAGUGGACUUAUGAAAAAAAUGACUUUGUAUUUAUUUACAGAUAAAUAACCAUGUGUCUGUAAUUAGUAAGAGAUCCACUGUAUGUAAUUUAUCUUUUUCUUAUGUGUUACCUGUUAAAGAUGACCUUGUGUUUCCCGACAUGCUGUCAAGUGAAAGAUUUUGUAAGAAUCCUUCUAUAUUCCUACAUUAUUUUAUUGCAUUGCUCAUCAAUUUUGCAUUUUCUCCCUCUCUUAUGAUCCUAGCCUUUCCUUUAUUAGAAGUAAUUAUCUAGUUCAUAGAAAAUUGUUUAAUUUGGUUAUUUUCAUUACUUCAAAGAGAAAUUCUAAUGUAGAACGAUUUGUUUAUAUAUCUCUUGCAGACUCAAAAUACACACCACUAUUAUAAAAACCUUCCCUGCCUAGCUCAUAUUUCCCCCGACUCCUACCCCAUGGUUCCCUAGCUUAUUGAAUGUACUCAUAGCAUCUCUUUUAGUCUGUAUUGCUAUCAUGUGUUUUUCUAAUCUGUUCCCCAUAGUAACAGUGAAAUCCUUGAGGGCACGAGUCUUAUCUUUUUCAACUCUAUUUUCAGCACCUCGCAUUGUGAGUUGGUGUAAGUAGUUCAGUAAAUAACUGUAGAUGUCAAAAUAAAUAAAUGUCAGCUAAUUUUUAUGUAUAUUCAAAGAUAAAAUUUUAUUUAUUGUCAUAAUUACCUUUACCCAAUCUAUUUUUUAUUGUUUGUUUCAAAUUACACCAAUAAAAAUGUGACAAUAACCAUGCUCAUCCUUAGACUAACACCAAUGUUUAGAAGCAGUUUCACCAUAUAGUUCCAUUUUUAAAAAAUUCUAAAUAUUUGCUAUAUUCUUUAAUUGAGUCUUCCCAAAGCAAUCUUUGAACUAAUUGUUGGUUUCUCAGAUUUCUAUUUUGUUAUCUUUAAGACACUCUUUAAAUCUCAUCAAAAAUCUUCAUGGAAAUUAAUUACAUUGUACCCAAACGUUAUAAAAUCUUACCAUUUAAAGAUACUUUAGAGUUCAUUUGAACUAUUCUUCAAAGAAUUAGCAAUGAAGUUCUUUUGGAUUGAUUGAUAUUCAUGUACCCAAGAAAGAUAGGUAGAAUAUUAAUUCAUUUUAUUAUUUCCAAAGAGAAGGUGUGAAAAUAAACUAGAACACAGUUGAGUUGGCAGAACUGAGUUUGUGUUUACAAAACUGAAAAGGCUGGACCACAAUGUGGUUUACUGGUGAUAUAUUAAUUUAGAUAACAAUUAAAUCUCGGAGACUUACCAUAUUGAAAGUUUAUUUUUUGGUUUACACAAAUCUGAUAUACUGGAUAGGGGCUUUUCUCCUUUCAUUUACUCAAGGAUCCAGGUUCCAGUCCAAUAUGCACCAUUCAGCCUGGUUGCAGCAUGUUAAGCAGCCCUGGAGGCAGCAGAUGAGGGAUCCUAUGAAGCAACUUUCAGACAUUCAGAACCAAGACAAAAAAAAAGAGAAUUAAAGUAAAAUAUGAUGUACCCAGGAGUUACAUCAGUGAACCAAAUACAGCCUCAAAUUUCGAUCUGUGCUUCACAGCAGCCAGCAAAAAGAACAAAACAUAUUUUGUUAGUUCAUAUAAAUAAAUAAAUUAAAAAUGCAUGAAUAAAUAAAUAAAGCAAACCAGUUUCUCGAUUCUGAAAUAUUUUCUGGAAGUGAGAACUGAAAGGAAUUUCCACCAUGGACCCACAAGCAGUUGUUGGUGGCAUAUAUAAUGAGUGCUGGGUGUUAAGGAAGCAAUGGUGAAGGAGAGACACCCUCCCGACCCUCAUGGUGCUUGCAGCCUAGUGGAGCUAUGAAAAGAUAGGCAAGUGAGUCCUAUGAUUGGAGAAGUAAUGAGAAGUAAUGAGAAGCGUCUUCUAAGCAUAGGGGUAAAGACUGCAAAGACCCUGAAGGGAGAAAGUAAUGGCCAUUCUGAGAACUGAAAGUUUGCACAGUGCACAGAGGGCAUGAAGAACGAAGGAAAGAGAUUUUUUUUUUUUUUUUUUUGCCCAAGAUGGCAAGUUGCUUAAAACCUAAAGCUCCUUUCAAUUCUUUACAAUCCAAGAUUAUAUGGAAUGGACUGGGAACAAAGAGAGGGACUGGCAUUUAAAGUCUUUUAUACACUUUGGAACAAAUGUUAUUCUCCAUUCAUCCUGACACUAAAUUGGUUAGCCAAACCCAAAGAUCUACUAAUAAUCCUGCUUUGGCAUGGGAGAAUGAGUGAGAUAAGGAGGCAAUAGAGGAGAUGAAUCGACAAAUGGAAGGAAUAGAAUUCUGGUUGAUGUCCUUGUCUCUAAGCUGUAGCAGCAAGUAUUUAUCCUAAUCAUGUGGUGUUAGCACGGAGAUGAGAAAGAGAGAAAGACAACAUCAUGCUUUGCUGUCUGUGUGUGAACUGAGUAACAGCUGUGAAGGAUCAGUCACCAAAAGACUUUGAAAGAAGAGGCUUGAUUGGUCACGGUAAUGAUGCUCCCCUGGCCAUGGAAGUUUAAUUGGGAGAAAAGAACAUCUGCUUAUACGAAAACAUAUUAUAUUCAGCCAUCCCUGCCCUGACUUUGGCCUUUAAAAACAGUGGCAUUAAUUAUCUCAACAAAUGAAUCUUCGGGAUAAAAAUAAUCUAAAUAUUAUUUUACGCUUACUACAUAUUUGCAACGUGCUAAGCUCUUUAUGGUUGCUACCACAAAAAACAUUUAUAAUAUGAGGUGGGUAUUUUUAUUAUAUACAUUUUCAGUUUAAAGACAGUAACUUCAGAAUGUAACUUGUCCUAGUCACACAAAAGCAGGUGUGGACUAAAACUCAAACCCAUGAUUCUUUCACUUUAAAUGAUAUGGUUCUGAACCAUUAAAUUCGAAUGCUACUAAGAAUGGUGAAUGCUAAGCAAUGUUAAGCUACACAUUGUUAUUAUUAACAAAUAAUUUCAAAAGGGCAGGAGAGGUAGGUUAAAAAUUAAAGGGUUAAGCUGGAAUAACAUGUCAAAUUUCUCAGAGUUUUUUAUUUUCAUGAAAAAAUAUAUUUUAUAUUGCAACAGAAUGAACUUGACUUAACAGUUUAGGUAGCUGAUUGCAUAUAUUUUGAUAGUCCUAUCAUAUUUCCAACAAAUACAUUUUCUCCCCACCCCACCUGCAACUGGAGACUUCACAAGGUUAGGAACAGGCUUCACUUCAUUGUGAUGUGUGUAAGGUGACAGAGGACAUAUAACGAAUACGUGGAAGAACUAGGAAUUUGACCUUAGCUUCCAGACAUUUUGAGGAGGAUACACUAUGUCCAUCUUGCUUUCCUAUCAAGAAAAGUAUACCCAGUUUGUGCAGUAGCCCUGUACCAACAGAUACAUUACAGCAGGUUGUUUCCGUAUUUUGGCUAUUGUGAAUAGUGCUGCAAUAAACAUGGAAGUGCUGAUAUAUCUUUGAGAUCUUGACUUCAAACAAAAGAAGAAAAUCUUGCAAUAUAUGACAACACGGAUUAACCUGGAGGACAUUGUGCUUAGUGAAGUUAGCCAGUCACAGACUGACAAGUACUGCACGAUUCCACUUAUAUGAUGCCACUGAAAGGUAAACAUACCAUUCUGACAUGCAUGAAAAUGAAACGACAAAUUGAUACACGCAGUGCUUGGAAUGGAUGGAGUCCUUCUAAUGAGUGAUUACCUGUGGUAUAACUAUAUUGAUUGUGUUUGUACAUGUCAAAUGGGGCUGGCGAGGAUGAACUUGAAGAAAUCAAUCUUGGAACCUGCUAGGACAGCAGCCUCCUGGUUUCACAGUACUAAAUCAUGACUUCAAAAUUUUGAAGUAAAAGAAAACUGCAAAACUUUGUAAAGGUACCAGUCUCUUCCUGACACUAUUUGCCUUGGCAAAAGAUUCACUGUCAACUUAAAAGACUAACAUGUGCUCAGAUGAUGAUUUGUGGAGGACAGAUAAUUAUGAGUACAUUUAGAAAUACACACUCUUCCAAACCCUGCUCUUUCCAUAUAAUGAAGUUAUUUAUUUCUAUUUUUUAUUUAUUUUUCUAAUAAUUACAAACAUACUUUGGAGACCCACAUUCCUGUAUUAUUCUUUCAACAUACUGAAGAAGAGUUAUUUCUAUGCUUCUUUCUAUGUGUUGGGCUUAAGAUUUAUUAGAAGGAAUGUGUAAAAACAAAGGCAGCAAAGUUUCUAUUUUUAUUGGGAGUCACUCCCGGAGUAAGUGGGGAUAGUUGUGCACACACACACACACACAUUCAUGCACAAAGAAAGAGUGAUCAAGUGUAUAACACACUUUUAGCAGUGUUUUGCUGGAAGAAUAAAGUAUAACUCCUUGUCCGCCCUUUUAUUAUACUGGGGUUCACACUAAGAGAGUCUGAGGACCUGUGGAACUCCCAUUUGCAUGAAAUAACUUUUGCAUCUAUUCUGGAGGAAAACUUCCUAAGGCAGAUUUGGACAGAAAAUUGCUAUCAGCGCAAAUAAAACAAUGCAAAGCCUACUCCGGGGAACGUUGCUCUGCCACCACUACUGAAAUGGGUCAUCCCCUUGGUUUCUGAAUAAAGAAUUAUGAAACCUGGGGCUAGAAUGCUCAGGGAGGAAUUUACCAAUCCAAAUCUUCCCCUUAUGGUAGAGAACAAACUUUCAAGGUUUGUUCUCCACUGUAAGUGUGCGAGGGCUGUUAGGGACCGUAAUAUGGCUGCCGGAGACUGGUGUGUGUACCUCCUUGACUGUACGUCUCAUUUCCAGUUAUGAUUUUACAAUCAUCUCUUUCUCAACCUUUGCUUUUAAAUAUAGGAAGGUACGGCUCACCAUGGAGCGGACAUUUUCUUCAGGAGCGGUACGGUGUCUAAGAUAUGCAGAGGUUGUAUUCUAGUCCUAUAACUCAAUUCUCAAACACAUGGCUUUUAGCCAGGGAUAUCCUAAAGGAAAAUUACACUAUAUGCAACCCCUCCUUACUCCUCAAAUAUUAUCUAUAUUAAACACAGCUGAAAUUUGAGAGUGUCCUUACAGGUGAAAAUUUAACAAUUUAACAAAAGGACACUGCUGAAUGUGUGGGGACAAAGGAAGGAUGAAUCUUUCAUCAUGACAAAAGACUACUUGCCACAUUCUCCCUUAACUUAGAAAAACAGAAAAGAGGCUGGGCGUGGUGGCUCCUGCCUGUAACCUCAGCACUUUGGGAG